Molecule: long non-coding RNA, 930 nt
Organism: Asterias rubens (European starfish)
Lineage: Eukaryota; Metazoa; Echinodermata; Asteroidea; Forcipulatida; Asteriidae
Exons: 3
Source: RefSeq, a predicted model, not a curated record
ACGCACUAUUAUUAAAAACUGAUCCGAAGUGUUGCUACAAUAAAUUGUAACUAUUGGCUGAGAUGCGGCACUUCGCUUUUGACCAUCUUUACCAUUUUUCUUUCGAAGUUUGACCACCGAAGUUAGUUUCGAGUACUCGCUAUUAAGUGCUGCUGGCUUCAAAACUUUGCUAAAGACUGCAAUCAGCGACGAGUAGCUUUGUGAACCUGCUCAUCAAACAACUCUUUGGACUUCAAACACCGAAAAUAGCUGCAGUGAGUUCAGUUUCGAGCGAUCAAGCAUCGUGCAGUGCAUCGACAGGAAUCCCGGACACUAAGCUAAAGAAGACGGACUACAGAGGGACUACCGUAAAGAUGGCAGACUCCGCUCAAGACGCAGGGAAAGAAGUUGAACUGGAGAUUGUAGAGACCCAAGACGAUGAUGAGAAGACGAAAGAAGCGGCCACCCAGACUGACAUGAAAAAGGCCCCAAGGAUAAGCGCAGAUGAUGUGCGGAAGACUGUCGGUUGCUGCCGACGAAUCUUCAAGUGGAUCAGGAAGCUGUUUACUGAUGACGACGAAGACGGUUGUUUCAGUGUCUGUUGCUGUUGUGGGGACGAUGAGUGAAGAAUAAAUGACGGAGAUAAAGAGCGAAACGCAAAUCUACGUAAUAAUAACAAUAACUAUAGCUCUUACAUAGCGUAUUUUUACAAUAACUUAAUCACUAGUGCCCUGGUUAUUGGACUAAUAAUAGUCCUGUUAUACCUCAGCUCACUGGGGGGGGGGGGGGGGUAUGCUGCCGUGGCGCCCAAAGGCGAUUUCAACCUCUAUCCUGGCAGUUACCCAAGCCUGGGCGAAGAGAUUCAAUAUUGUAGAUAAGCAUCUUGCUCAAUGACCGGGAUUCGAACCCACACUCCGAUGACUUAACCACAACCACAAGAACUUGAAUUCG